This is a non-coding RNA of Podarcis lilfordi (Lilford's wall lizard), 74 nucleotides long. Lineage: Eukaryota; Metazoa; Chordata; Lepidosauria; Squamata; Lacertidae. The record is from the annotation of a GenBank genome assembly.
GCAGGAAGUAGCUCAGUCACUACAGCAUGAGACUCUUAAUCUCAGGGUUGUGGGUUAAAGCCCCUUGUUGAGCA